This 198-nucleotide ribosomal RNA is filed under the name uncultured bacterium. Its description in RNAcentral is "partial 16S ribosomal RNA". It matches the Rfam family "Bacterial small subunit ribosomal RNA", at positions 326 to 540 of the family's 1533-position model. The record is from RNAcentral.
ACGCUCGACACCUACGGCAGCAGUGGGGAAUAUUGGGCAAUGGGCGCAAGCCUGACCCAGCAACGCCGCGUGAAGGAUGAAGGCUUUCGGGUUGUAAACUUCUUUUAUCAGGGACGAAACAAAUGACGGUACCUGAUGAAUAAGCCACGGCUAACUACGUGCCAGCAGCCGCGUAAUCUGAGGCGGGCUGGCGAAGGC